Molecule: non-coding RNA, 84 nt
Organism: Bombyx mori (domestic silkworm)
Lineage: Eukaryota; Metazoa; Arthropoda; Insecta; Lepidoptera; Bombycidae
Source: Rfam
UUAACUCAAAAUUGUAUGGUGUUGGAACGUUUGCCUACGUUGGCCGCUAGGGGCGCUGUGCCAACUCCAUACAAAUUUGCGUUA